AACGAACGCUAGCGGCAUGCCUCAAACAUGCAAGUCGAACGAGAAAGUACCUUCGGGUACAAGUACAGUGGCGCACGGGUGAGUAACACGUAGCUAACCUACCCUUAUGCUGGGGAUAACUUCGGGAAACCGAAGCUAAUACCGAAUAGUGAGCAUCUUCUGCGGAAGUUGCUUUAAAGCCUUCGGGCGCGUAGGGACGGGGCUGCGGUACAUUAGCUUGAUGGUGGGGUAACGGCCUACCAUGGCUACGAUGUAUAGCUGGUCUGAGAGGAUGAUCAGCCACACUGGGACUGGAACACGGCCCAGACUCCCACGGGAGGCAGCAGUUGGGAAUAUUGGACAAUGGGGUAACCCCUGAUCCAGCAAUGCCGCAUGUGUGAUGAAGGCCCUCGGGUCGUAAAGCACUUUCAGAAGGGAAGAACAAAAUGACGGUACCUUCAGAAGAAGCACCGGCUAACUCCGUGCCAGCCGCCGCCGUAAAAC
RNAcentral lists this ribosomal RNA (483 nucleotides) under uncultured bacterium. Its description in RNAcentral is "bacterial SSU rRNA". It matches the Rfam family "Bacterial small subunit ribosomal RNA", at positions 29 to 526 of the family's 1533-position model. The record is from RNAcentral.